Molecule: transfer RNA, 77 nt
Filed under: Candidatus Bathyarchaeota archaeon
Lineage: Archaea; Thermoproteati; Candidatus Bathyarchaeota
Also listed under: 1 other name
Description: tRNA-Lys
Rfam family: tRNA
About the family: Transfer RNA (tRNA) molecules are approximately 80 nucleotides in length.
Source: RNAcentral
GGGCCUGUAGCUCAGCAAGGCAGAGCAUCGGGCUUUUAACCCGGUGGUCAGGGGUUCAACUCCCCUCAGGCCCGCCA